AUUGAACGCUGGCGGCAUGCCUAACACAUGCAAGUCGAACGGCAGCGCGGGUAGCUUGCUACCUGGCGGCGAGUGGCGGACGGGUGAGUAAUAUGUAGGAAUCUACCUAGAGGAGCGGGAUAACUUGGGGAAACUCAAGCUAAUACCACAUAAUCCCCACGGGGGAAAGCAGGGGACCUUCUGGCCUUGCGCCUUAUGAUGAGCCUACAUCGGCUUAGCUUGUUGGGGGGGUAAAGGCCUACCAAGGCGACGAUCCGUAGCUGGUCUGAGAGGAUGAUCGGCCACACUGGAACUGAGACACGGUCCAGACUACUACGGGAGGCAGCAGUGGGGAAUAUUGGACAAUGGGGGGAACCCUGAUUCAGCAAUGCCGCGUGUGUGAAGAAGGCCUUAGGGUUGUAAAGCACUUUCAGUGGAGAGGAAGUUGCGUGUGCUAAUAUCAUACGUAAUUGACGUUACCCACAGAAGAAGCACCGGCUAACUCUGUGCCAGCCGCCGCUGUAA
Molecule: ribosomal RNA, 504 nt
Filed under: uncultured bacterium
Lineage: Bacteria
Description: partial 16S ribosomal RNA
Rfam family: Bacterial small subunit ribosomal RNA
Source: RNAcentral